GGAGCAUUAGCUCAGUUGGUUAGAGCCCCCGGCUCAUAACCGGGUGGUCACAAGUUCAAGUCUUGUAUGCUCCACCA
RNAcentral lists this transfer RNA (77 nucleotides) under Halobacteriovorax marinus. RNAcentral's name for it is "tRNA-Met". It matches the Rfam family "tRNA". From Rfam's summary of the family: Transfer RNA (tRNA) molecules are approximately 80 nucleotides in length. RNAcentral also lists the same sequence under 1 other name. Lineage: Bacteria; Pseudomonadati; Bdellovibrionota; Bacteriovoracia; Bacteriovoracales; Halobacteriovoraceae. The record is from RNAcentral.